GGAGGAGGAGCAGGUGGCCGACAUGGUGGCAUGGAGAGCUGGGCGUGGCAGACGAGGAGGCCACGCGAGGCAUGCGGCGGCCAGCUAGGGUUUGCUGCUGAAUUUUGCUGAAAAAUGUUUUAGAUUUUGGGCCAUUUGGGCUUUAGGAUUUUGAUUUGUUUGGGUUUGAAUUUUGGGUCAGAGUUUGGGUUUGUAAAUGGGCUGUUACUUUUGGGUUUAUUAUUUUUAUUUUGUUUUUGUUUUGCACUGGGCCCGGGCAAAAUGGGCUCAUACAGCUGCCCCUCUUUGCUCAUUUUCGUGUAACGAGAAUAGAGCAAAGACAUCAAAAGGGCCAAUUUUGCCCGGUCUUGCCGAGUCUUGACUUUUUGGUGCUCAUCUUCUUCAAAUAGCCUUAUUCCAACCUGCCACGUCUUGUUGCUUCGAUCCACUCUACUGCAACUUCAGAUACGCCUUGUAGCUUCAAUCUACUCUGCUAUGACUCCAUGGGGAUGAGAUUUGUGUUUUUAGUCUGCUCCACUACUGCUUAGGGAGAUAAGACUGAAUGUUGUUUUCUUCGAUCUAUUCCACUGUUGUCCAGGGAGAUAGAACUACCAGCUUCAAUGUACUCCACUGUAAUCAGGGAGGUAAAAUUUGCCAUCUUCGAUCUUCUUCGCUGCCAAAUACAGGAAGGCAAGAUCUGUAAUCUUCGAUCUACUUCACGCCAAAUACAUGAAGAUAAGAUCUGCUUUCUUCGAUCUACUUCGCCACCAGUAUGGGAAGACAAGAUCUGCAUCGUCAAUCCACUUCCUACCAAUAUAGGAAGACCAGAUCUGCUACCUUUGAUCUACUUCACGCCAAUACAUGAAGACAAGAUCUGCUUUCUGCAAUCUACUUCGCCACCAAUAUGGGAAGACAAGAUCUGCAUCUUCGAUCCACUUCCUACCAAUAUAGGAAGAUAGGAUCUGCUACCUUCGAUCUACUUCACGCCAAUACAUGAAGACAAGAUCUGCUUUCUUCGAUCUACUUCGCCACCAAUAUGGGAAGACAAGAUCUGCAUCGUCGAUCCACUUCCUACCAAUAUAGGAAGAUAGGAUCUGCAUCGUCGAUCUACUUCCUACCAAUAUAGGAAGAUAGGAUCUGCUACCUUCGAUCUACUUCACGCCAAUACAUGAAGACAAGAUCUGCUUUCUUCGAUCUACUUCGCCACCAAUAUGGGAAGACAAGAUCUGCAUCGUCGAUCCACUUCCUACCAAUAUAGGAAGAUAGGAUCUGCAUCGUCGAUCCACUUCCUACCAAUAUAGGAAGAUAGGAUCUGCUACCUUCGAUCUAUUUCACGCCAAUACAUGAAGACAAGAUCUGCUUUCUUCGAUCUACUUCGCCACCAAUAUGGGAAGACAAGAUCUGCAUCGUCGAUCCACUUCCUACCAAUAUAGGAAGACAGGACCUGCUAUCUUCGAUCUACUUCACGCCAAUACAUGAAGACAAGAUCUGCUUUCUUCGAUCUACUUCGCCACCAAUAUGGGAAGACAAGAUCUGCAUCGUCGAUCCACUUCCUACCAAUAUAGGAAGACAGGACCUGCUAUCUUCGAUCUACUUCACGUCAAUAUGGGAAGACAAGAUUUGUAUCUUUGAUCCACUUCCUACCAAUAUAGGAAGAUAGGACCUAUUUACGCCUAGUGUUUAGGAUGACAUGAUCAGAAUGAAUCAAAUGCUCCUAACUAGAUGUGUAAGUAUUAUAUUUGUAGAAUGUCAUGAGAAUGAUCCAUUUUUAAUGCUUAGGUUGUCAUUCCUCAUUGUUCAUCAAGGUUCUAUCACUGAUGCCUUCUUGUUCAGCCAGUUUGACAGAAAACCCAAAGAAAUAGACGCUAUUUAGACUAUCAUUUCUCAAAUGUUUCCAACCCUUAGGUUUGGUUAGUUCUAAACAAUAGUCCUGUUUCAGGUCCUCGUAUUAUUUAGAAACUUUCAGAGUAAUAUGCAGAACUCCUUCUGCAUGUGUAUUGUCAAUCCAUUAAUCGUUAUUUCAAGGAAAAAUGCUUGAAAGAUUAUCAAAAUGGACAAAAUAAAAUUUUGCUGAGAGCAAAGCUCGAAAUGAAUAAAUCAAUCAAGAUAGCAAACUUUGCUGAGAUAUGAUGAAAAAGAUUAUCACAAUGAAUAAGAUGGAAUUUUAUUGAGAGCAGAGCUCUAAAUGAACAAAUAGCAAAUUUUGCUAAGAUGUAAAUAAGAUAAAAAAAAAAGGUGCCCCAGAUAUCGCAGCGUGAGCUUCUCCGCACAAACUCUGUGUUUAGAAAUCCUAAAAGACUUUGUUGAUGCCCCAAGAUGUAGCAUCUCUCCUUCUUGUUAAUUCGGAGAAGACAAAACUACUCUAUGCCUCAACUUUGAUCGAAAAUUCGAAUUGCCCAUUCCUGGGUUUUCAAUUCAAAGCCCCUUUGGUCUCAAGGUGCCCUUUGCGGGUUUUCGCCUUGGCCUCUCCCCCUUUUUUUUUUCUUUUUUUUUUUUUUUAGGCAAAGUACCUCUUCACUGAAUCCGAAUUCACAGGAUUGGGCAAGCUUUUGCCAUCCAUCCCAGUUAAAAUUAAUGCCCCUCCUGAAAAGGCCUUUUUUACUACAUAAGGUCCCUCCCAGUUUGGCAUCCACUUUCCUCUGAAGUCCUUUUGUAUGGGAAGGAUCUUCUUCAGUACCAAGUCCCCUUCAUGGAAGUUUCUAGGACGAACUUUCUUAUUGUAAGCUCGCAUCAUUCGUUUCUGGUACAUUUGACCAUGACGGAUAGCUCUUAACCUCCUUUCUUCAAUCAAGUUCAGCUGAUCAUAUCGGGCUUGGACCCAUUCUGCUUCGUCUAACUUUAGUUCUGAAAAAACUCGGAGAGAGGGAAUUUCAACCUCAAUUGGUAGCACUGCCUCCAUUCCAUAAACCAAAGAGAAUGGUGUUGCCCCGGUAGAAGUCCUGACGGAUGUUCGAUAAGCAUAGAGGGCGAAUGGCAACUUCUCGUGCCAAUCUCUAUAGGUCUCAGUCAUUUUCCCUACAAUCUUUUUGAUGUUUUUAUUGGCUGCCUCCACCGCACCAUUCAUCUUCGGACGAUAUGGCGAUGAGUUGUGGUGCUUGAUCUUGAAUUGAUUACAAACCUCUGCUAUCGUGCUAUUAUUCAAAUUUAAUGCGUUGUCUGAUAUGAUCCUUUCAGGCAUUCCAUACCGACAUAUGAUUUCCUUCUUUAAAAACUUGCUGACAGCUGUCUUUGUGACGUUGGCGUAAGAAGUAGCCUCUACCCACUUAGUAAAGUAGUCAAUCACUACAAAAAUGAAACGAUGUCCAUUUGAAGCCUUUGGCGAUAUCGGCCCAAUGACGUCCAUGCCCCACAUGGAGAAAGGCCAUGGGGAAGUCAUGACGUGAAGAGGUGAUGGAGGCACAUGAAUUUUGUCUCCGUAAAUCUGGCAUUUAUGGCACUUCUUAGCAUACUUGAUGCAGUCUCCUUCCAUGGUAGACCAAUAAUAUCCAAAUCUCAUGAUCUGUCUGGCCAUUGUGAAACCGUUAGCGUGUGUUCCACAAAUACCAUCAUGGACUUCUUCCAAGAUCUGCUUGGCCUCCACAGCGUCUAUACAUCUUAACAGCACCUGAUCUUUUCCUCUUUUGUACAGGAUUUCCCCAUCUAAGACGUAACCACUGGCCAGCCUCCUCAACAUUCUCUUGUCAUUCUCAGUUGCUUGGUUCGGGUAUUCACAAUUUUUCACGUAUUGCAAUAUGUCCUGAUACCAAGGGUUGUCGUCCUUUUCUUCUUCCUCGUCAAUAUUACAACAGUGGGCUGGAGCAUCAUAAAUGCUCAUUUGGAUAGGCUUCACAUCCUCUGGUCUAUUUACUUUGAUCAUGGAAGCCAAUGUAGCUAAAGCGUCGGCCAUCUGAUUCUCGUCUCGUGGGAGAUAACAAAAAGUGAUGUCGUCAAACUCCUCAAUCAAUUCUAGGACUAUCCUUCGGUAACUAAUCAAUUUAGGGUCUCUUGUUUCCCAUUCGCCUUUGAGCUGAUAAAUUACCAAUGCCGAAUCCCCAUAUACCUCAAGUACCUUGAUUUUGCGUUCCAUAGCCGCGCGGAUUCCCAUGAUACAUGCUUCAUAUUCCGCCAUGUUAUUUGUGCAAUCAAAAUCUAGUUUACUGGUGAAAGGAUAAUGAUCACCGUUUGGAGAUACCAAGACUGCCCCAAUCCCGUUGCCCAUGGCAUUUGAGGCUCCGUCAAAAUUUAAUUUCCAAGUAUUGCCUUCUUGUGUGCCCGCUUCAGUAGUUGCCACAUACAUCAGAUCCUCAUUUGGGAAGUCAAAGUUCAAAGGCUCAUAAUCGUCCAGGGCUCUACUUGCUAGAAAAUCUGCUAUCGCGCUCCCUUUUACAGCCUUUUGAUUCACAUAGGUUAUGUCGAAUUCAGAUAGUAGAAUUUGCCAUCGGGCCAUCCUUCCGUUUAGAGCAGUUGACUCCAUCAUGUAUUUCAGAGGGUCUAACUUUGAGAUUAACCAAGUCGUAUGGUACAACAUGUAUUGUCUCAAUCUCCGAGUAGUCCAAACCAAUGCGCAACAUAAUUUUUCAAUUGGCGAAUAUCUCGUUUCGCAUUCAGUGAACUUCUUACUGAGAUAAUAGAUCGCUCUUUCUUUUCGUCCUGACUCAUCAUGUUGGCCGAGCACGCACCCCAUGGAAUUCUCAAAUACUGCCAAGUAUAGUAUUAGUGGUUUGUCAGGGCACGGUGGCAUCAGUACUGGGGCGUUGGACAAGUAAUGUUUAACUCUUUCGAAAGUCUCCUGGCACUCCUCAUCCCAUACACCUGGAUUGUGUUUCCUAAGAAGGCGGAAUAUGGGGUCACAUUUCUCAGUUAAUUGUGAAAUGAAUCGAGCGAUGUAAUUCAGUCUUCCUAGGAAACCCCGAACUUCUUUUUGAGUACUCGGCGGAGGUAAUUCUUGUAUGGCCUUAACUUUGUCUGGGUCAAUUUCAAUUCCCUUUUCGCUGACUAAGAAUCCUAGCAGUUUUCCUGAUCUAGCCCCGAAAGUACACUUGGCUGGGUUAAGUUUUAGCUGGAACUUCCUUAACCUCAGAAACAGUUUUCUCAGAACUUGCACGUGUUCCCUUUCUGUUCUGGAUUUUGCGAUCAUGUCAUCAACAUAAACUUCUAUCUCUUUAUGCAUCAUAUCAUGGAAUAAUGCUACCAUGGCUCUCUGAUACGUUGCUCCCGCAUUUUUCAAUCCAAAAGGCAUCACUUUAUAACAAAACGUCCCCCACAUCGUUAUGAAUGUGGUCUUUUCCUUGUCUUCAGAAAGCAUCUUAAUUUGGUUGUACCCGGAGAAACCAUCCAUGAAAGAGAACAGUGAGUAUCCGGCCGUGUUGUCUACCAAGGUAUCGAUAUGAGGCAGUGGGAAAUUAUCUUUUGGGCUGGCUUUGUUCAAGUCUCUAUAGUCCACACACAUUCGCACCAUCCCAUCUUUCUUAGGAACAGGGACUAUAUUGGCUACCCAUUCUGAGUACUUGACCACCUGUAAGAAACCAGCGUCGAAUUGCUUCUUGACUUCUUCCUUUAUUUUUAGCAAGACAUCAGGCCUCAUCCUUCGAAGCUUUUGUUGGACUGGUUUGCAUUCUUCCUUUAUAGGCAAUCGGUGCACCACGAUAUCAGUACUUAAACCUGGCAUAACUUGGUAGGACCAUGCGAAGACAUCUUUAAACUCUUGAAGCAACUCAACAAGGUCUCGCCUUGUUUCCUUGGCAAUGCAAGCGCCAACUUUUACCUCUCUGCCCUCUUCUAAGAUCACAACUUCUACUGACUCCUUAUAGGGUAGAAUUUGUUUUUCUUCUUCUUCCAUCAUUCUUAACAAAUCCGGAGAUAAAACGCUGUCUUGGUCACCUUCAAAAUCUUGAGGAUUAUCUAUACUCGUGUCUUGCUCAAAUAGAGACUCUGAAUUAGUAACAGAGUCGCUCAUCUCGUUGAUAUCUGAAGACCUGUUAUUGGAACAAAUGGAGGCCCAAAUAAAAGAAUCUAAGAAUACUUGUAUGCAUACUAUGAUUAUAAAGGGAAUGAAAAGAAUGAAAGAAUAUUUGCUCAAGAUGAAACUGAAUGAUAAGUUUUCACUGAAAUUAGAUUUUGGACAUGUGCCUUUUACAAAAGAUUCUUAUCACCCCCAGGCUUAGGGCAACAAGUGUUCUGAAUAUUACUCUGAAUUAGUUCUAAAUGUUACAGGGAUCUCUUCUGCAGUCCAGUUAUUCAAAACACUUCCAGGUUCGCAAGGACGAAUGCCCGAUAAAUUCCUUUCCACCCUUUCUUCCGCGGAUAUGGCAUUGAUGUCCAACCUCUCAAUCCUUCCUUCUGUAACCUCAUCCUUCUCUUCAGGGUAGACCAUUCCCCUUGAAACAAAAGUCUUAGAUAUAUGGGGAAAGGUCAUCGGUCCCCACUUGACUUCUAUCCCGCCCAAAUGUGCUCUUCUCUUUUCUUGCUUUUUCUCCAUCUCUUUCCUCCUUUCCCUUGCAUUAGGCUUAUAUCCCAAACCAUAACGGUCCUGUUUGUUAACUAGGAUCGGUACUCCAACCCUUCCCUGGAGGUAUUUUCCCAAUCCUCUUCCAGGCAAUGCUCCCUUUCCCAUCGUUAGUUGUAAGCUCAUUGACGUAGCUUUGGAUAUCUUAGGCUCUGGGAUUUUGCUCAUCUCGAUGACAAAUGUGGCAUUUACGAAUUCCAAUGAUCGGAAUGAACAUUCUAUCGCUUCACUAUCAGCCUCUAUGUAUGGCGUAUCAUCGGUGACUGAUGCAAUGAUGUCUUCUUCUGCACCUAUAGUCACCAAUCUACCCUCUAUCACCAACUUUAACUUUUGGUGAAGUGACGAGGUACAGCUCCUGCAGAAUGGAUCCAAGGCCUCCCCAAUAGGCAAUUGUAAGAUGGUUUAAUAUCCAUUACCAAAAAGUCCACCUCGUAUGUAUUUGGACCAAUCAAUAGAGGUAUCUCGAUUCUCCCCAUCACUUUUCUCUCAGUGCCAUCAAAUGCUCUCACUAUAUUUUGACAUGAUUUCAUGUGAGAACUAUCCACAGGUAACCUGUUUAAUGUGGACAGGGGUAAAACAUUCAGGGCCAAUCCAUUGUCCACGAGUACCGCCGGUAGUAUACACCCCUUGCAACGGGCAGUGAUGUGCAAGGCCUUGGUAGAUCCCAUACCACCUGGCGGGAUCUCAUCAUCGUUGAAGAAGAUGAAAUUAUCGGCAUUUAUAUUGUUAACCAGGCGAUCCAAUUUGCUCACUGAGAUAUCUUUAGCGACAUAGGUCUCAUUUAGCACUUUUACCAACGCAUUACGAUGUAUCUCUGAACUUAGAAGUAACUCGAGCACUGAGAUGCGAGCGGGUUGCUUAUGCAAUUGUUCCACCACGCUAUACUCGCUAUGCUUCAAGAAUUUUAGGAAUUCUCUAGCCUUAUUUUCAGUCACCGGUGUGUUAAUUUGCGGUUCAAUUCCGGUCUUCUUCGUUUUAUUUUGUUCAACCGCCAAGGCUUUUCCUUUUAUAAGUUCCCUUUUUGUAUUUCCCAGGUCGUAACGUUUUCCACUACGCGUAUAGAGACCUGCAUCAUUAGCCUCUUCUGAAGCAUUUAUCGGGUUCUCCUCUCCCGUGAUCAUCACAUUGCAGUCGUAAUUCCAAGGAACCUUUUUGCUAUCCUUGUAAGGAAAGGCUACAGGUUUUUGGAUUAUGACCCUUGGCGCCAGUUGUAUUCCAGAUCCUGUACUCGUUGGCCUUGAAAUAAUCACCACUGGGUGAUUUGGGGCCUUUCCCGUAGGCCCCUCCUCCGAGGCAUAAACUUCUCCAUUUUCAAGUCCUUUGAUCUCUUCAUAAAAUUCUAGCUCUUUGUUGUUCAUCAGAUUUUGCACCAUGGCCUUGAAUUCAGUGCAGUUUUGAAUGUCAUGAUCUUCUUCAACAUGAAACUCGCAGUACGUCUUCGUUCCUUCGGACCUUUCUUUUGAAUCUUGUUUGAUGAGACCUCCUUCUAUCAUUUGUCUCCAGACCCAACUCAAUGGGGUUUUUAUCUCUGCAAUGUCGGUUUUGAUUCUCUUUUUCUCACCUUCGAUUAUUACGUUUACCCCUUUAUCAGCAUGGUUGGGUAACGGAUUCGCUGCUACGUUGGGUCUUAAUGGGUCGUCAAACUUCACAAUCCCCAUCUUAAUGAACCUUUCCACCACCUUUUUAAACCCAGUACAGUUCUCAAUUGAGUGUCCUGGCAUCCCUGCAUGGUAUUCACAUUGGGCAUUCGUGUCAUACCAUUUGGGAUAUGGAGGUUGCAUGGGCUCGAGAUAAAAUGGAGAUACUAUGUGUGCAUCAAAUAACUUCUGAUACAGUUCCCCGUAUGUUAUUGGAAUGGGCGUGAACUGAAGUCUCUCUGUGUUAGUCCUUGUGUUGGGCCUUGUGUUGGGUUCCUGCCUCGAUGGGGCUUGGUGACUAGUGGUUAUCAUUUUUGGAGGGCCAACGGUAAUCGGUUUUGAAUGGCUCUUGCUAUAUGUGCUUACGUUGUUUACUUCGCCCUCUUUUUUCCUUGGGGCUGGUCUUUUGAAGUUUUCCCCCGUGUCAAUCUUACCGCUUCUUACCGCAUUCUCAAUCAUUUCACCAGACAUUACCAUAUCCGAGAAGCUCUUGGUAGCACUCCCCAACAUGUGGUUGAUGAACGGGGCUUUCAAAGUGUUGAUAAACAACAUGGUGACCUCUUUUUCCAAAAGGGGCGGCUGGACUUGUGUUGCCACUUCUCUCCAUCGUUGGGCGUACUGCCUGAAAUUCUCGCUAGGCUUUUUCUCCAUGUUUUGUAACGUAAUUCGAUCGGGUGUUAUAUCCGUUACAUGACUGUAUUGCUUCAUAAAAGCUUGCGCCAAGUCUCUCCAUGAACUAACUCUAGCACGACUCAGUUGGUUGUACCAUUUGGCUGGAGAUCCGAUCAAACUGUCCUGGAAGCAGUGGAUUAACAGCUGAUCGUUGUUGACAUAUCCUGUCAUUCUUCGACAGAACAUAGUUAUAUGAGCUUCAGGACAACUAGUCCCAUUAUAUUUUUCGAAUUCCGGCAUUUUGAACUUAGGUGGGAGUACUAAAUCAGGGACCAAACUCAGAUCCUUGGCGUCAACCCCGCGAUGAUAGUCGAUGUUCUCCAUGACUCUAAAUUUUUCCUCUAACCAUCUACAUCGGUCCUCUAGUUGUUUUGGCAGGUUCAUUCUUGUUUUUUCUGUUUCUGCCACAUCAUCGAGGUCUGGGACCACAAGAUUAGUGGGAUUAUCCCCGGGAUUAGAACCCGAGCCCAUUUGAAAAUGCAAUGGUACCGAGGUACCAGCCAGACAUUGAGGUCUAAUGGUAACCGGUACCCUCUGUGGGUACACCUCUGGUUGUGCUUGAAUGUUAGUUUGGGUGAAACCUGGAGGAUAAAUAGGGUCAUCGUGAUCUUCCCCCGCAUCGACUACGGGGUCUUUUCCUUUAUUUCCUCCAGCCAAUAACUGCUUUAAUUGGUUCAUCACAGUGUUCUGGGAUUCUAACAUGUCUUGCUGGAUUUUUUCCAGUCGUUCAUGCAUCUGAUCUUGCAUCUCUCGUUGCAACUGUUCCAAUCUUUCCAUCCUUUGAUCCAUUGCUUUUGUUUGGCGACGAGUACCGUAGUGAUAUUUGAUUAGAUUUUUGUUGGUUUCCAGGGUAACUGUCAUAAUUUAAUUUUAUUAGGGUCAUUUUAUGAGAUGUAAUGCAAAUGUAUGAGAUGAAUGCAAAAGAAAAAAAAGAGGCAUUGAUUCGAAUUCAAUUUCAUUAGAAAACUCAACUAGAAAGCAAAUUUCUUUACAUAAAAUAAAUUACAUAUACGGCUUCGCCUUUAUACCCAAAGCCUUAACCUUCCUAAGAAGCCAAGCUAAAUCUCGACCUCGGCUUGAUUCUGACUCAUAUUUUAAACUCAAUACAUCGGCCUGGACUGCUAAUGUUUGCAGAUGAUCAGCCACUUCCCGCACUUGAGUCACAGCUUCGCCCAUAACGUAAUCUCUAUCUCUAAUCUGCCUUUGAGAAUGAUGGAAUUACUCUUGCCAUUGAUCAUUACUCCUCUCAAGAAGCUCCAUUCGUAGCUCAGAAUUGUGUAAUGCGUCCUCAAGCUCCUCUACCUUUUCUUUCAGUUCUUCGAUCUUAUUUAAGCUUGCUCUUAGUUCGAUCAUGGAGUUGCGACUACGGUACGAGUGAAGUGACUUUUCUAGCUCUGUCACUUUGGCCUUUAAUCCUGCCUUCUCAUUUCGGCACUCUAACAAACUCCUUUCCAAAGCGUUUUCUCGAGCUCGAGCAUCUUGAAAUUUCUUUUCCCAUUGAUCGGCCCUAUUCUUUUCCUCAUUGAUCUCUUGUCGCCACUGCUCUGACGUUUUACCCAGACCGACAGUUCUCAUCGACAACCGCAGCUUCUUGUAAUCUGUUUUUAGACUAUCAAAUCCUCUUCAGCUUUGUUCUUUCCCUUCCUUAAUUUCUCGGCUUCUAGCUUGUGGAUAUCGAUGUCUAAUCCCAAAUGCACUCUUUCUUCUUCUAACUGUUCUAUCCUCUUUCCCAACUCAGAAUUUCUUUUCUCAAAGUCUCGUUUGAUGAUCUCUAAUUCUGACGGAACUACUUGUAGAUGCUCCUCUAUAGACUGAACGCAAUCUUCCCUCGGUUUAGGGAUGUUGUCAUUGACUCUUUUACUCCACCACCCAUAAUAUUCUGAAGUUGUCAUCGCUCCUACGGUGAAUCUUUUCAUUCGGUGAACCUGUUUCCAAGCGUUAGAUAUUUCUCGAGUUUUUUUCUUGUAGUUUUCAUCCUUAUAAGAAAACUCACAUUGAGCCAGCCCUUGUGUUGCUGGUAUGAACUGUCUCGAUCUAUAUUGUCUUAAUACGAGUAAAGGGGCAUAACCGACAGCUCCCCAAAUUCCGAGUAAAGGGACCCAGUUGAAAUCCCCACAUCGAUACAGGAUCUCGUCGGGUACCAUCCAAGGAGCUUUCCAUUCAACGUCAUCCUCCUGAAGGUUUUGGAGAAUCGUCAUCCACUUCUCUUCCGUGAUGUCGUCUCGUCUUGGUGUAGCAACUUGUUCCUUCAAUGGGGAAUAGUCUUCUGAGAAGACUCGAUAGGAGACAUUUUCCACCUUCCAAAAGUGACUAUGGAACCACACCAAUAGUAGCUGUGCGCAUCCGAUGAACCUUCCCUCCCCUGCUCUUCGACAUGCGCUUAGAGAUCUGAAGGUUUCUGCUAAGAUUGCCGGGAUGGGCGUGACUCCCUUACUAAGCCGAUCGAACAAAUCAGAGACGGCCUCAUCUACGUGCCCUAAAGCUCUAGGGAAAAUUACCAAACCAUAGAUACCUAGAGUGAAGACAUCCACUCUUUUCUUCACAUCAGGGUGUGCUAAUACUAAAUCUCGCAAGCUUUUCCAAGGAACGCAUUUACUGUCUCCUUUCUGUUGGAUUCGGGCAGCGACCCACUGUUCGCUCAUCCCCGUAAUACUCAUCAAUUUUUUUAAUAAUGUUGGGACACUAGCAGCUCUAGAGUAGGCCUUGUCAAUUUAAAUCUUUGGACACCGAAGCAAGGUCGUAUAUUCUUCCACGGUGGGCACCAAGUCCACUUUUCCAAAAGUGAAACAACUGUAAGCAGGAUUCCAAAACUGGGCUAGGGCUCGGAAUAAAUGCUUGUCCACUUUGACACCAAGUAGGUGAGGCAAGUCCCCGUAAUCACAGUAAAACAUCUGCUUGGUCCCGUCGUCCCAUUGAUCCCAUAUUUCCUUCAUUUCUCGCAGAUCAUUUUGGACUACGCUGAUACGGGUGAAGUCCCAUAACUCUGAUACGUACCCUUCUGCAAGACUAUCGCCUUUCUCUCUCCACAUCGUCUCAGCCCAUAAUCGUACAGCUGCAUUGUCUUCUACUUUAUCAAGAAACCUCUUUUCCAUGAUAAGCUUUCUAUCUAUACUGAACGUGAAUCGACACCUCUUUUGAAAUGAAAAUGCCAUGCAAUCACAAACAAAGCAAAUUAGAUCUAGGAUUUAAAAUAAACAAUAAUAAAUAAAGCAUCUAUUCGGUAAGCACUAGGGUCUGGAAUAGCUCUAUCUCGGUGGGUUCUUAUGGCUCGCUAUGUGUGGUUUGGUUCUAAAGUGAGGGUACCUGAACCAGCAGAUUCCUCGAUCCUCACCCAUUAUAGGCUCAUAUGGACCGAGUUCAGUUCAGGGGAAUACAUUUCCCUAUGGCUAUGCGGAGAUGAAAAUCUCACGAAGACAUAGGUACGGAUGUAUCCCGGAAGCGAUUCACUAUCCCAUGCGGAGGUGAAAACCUCACGAAGGCGUAGUUUCUCACUCCCACUUAAAAGGUGUGACCAACGGUCAUGCAAUGGAAUGUGCGGAGGUAUAAAAUAAAAUACAGAACACGAUAAAAAUGUAACUCAAAACAAAAGAGAUGAGAGGAUCGUAAAUCUAAAUCGAAUUUUCAACUUUUGACAAAAAGACAAGAAAUAAUCAACACGUGGCUUGACUCUCUUAUCGUCCCCAGCGGAGUCGCCAAGCUGUUGACACCAUUUUUUGGAUGAAAACGGGGUCGACUUGGAUUUAAAAAAAGAAUGAAAACGGGAGUCGCCACCAAUCCUUUUUUGACGAGGUGUGAUCGGGUCACCUCAAAAAGUGGUUGUUUUUAAUAAAUGAUUUAAUUUUAUUAAAACAACGAUUUUGGUCUACGAAAUUCAGAAAAAUGAGUUCGGGAGCCGGUUACGCACGAGGAAGGAUUAGCACCCUCGAUACGCCCAAAAUUGGUACCUAGUUGAUUAAUUAGUGUCUUAGUGUCGAAAAUUAAAAAUUUGAAGAGUUUUAAAAAAAUACGAUCCUUAAAAGAAAAUCUGAUAUCGCGAAUUGGAACAUAAGAUUCUCUUGUUCCGAAGGAAUAUCACGUCCAGCACGUUAGGACACGAUACUCUAAACCAUCGGAACUAAGAUCACCUUAUAGUUUAAUGAAACCAUACUUUGAAGCUUUAAGAGGAUAUUUGGCUAUUUAGUCAAACGAGAAAUCGAAACCCAGCACGUUAGGGCACGUUUUCUCGAGUUUCCAAACGCGAAAUAUUGCCUUAUUUAGAAAAAUUUUCCUUUUGGUGUUUAGUGUCAAUGCUUGACAAAACAAUAACGAAUACGACAAGGUGAGCAAAGUAAAGUGAGUAACAACAAUGCAAUAGGCAAAAUGAAAUGACGAGGCGAUUACAUAAACAAAGCAUACAAAUAAAUAAAUAGAACUAACAUUUAAAAAAAGCACAAGUGUACACGAAUAAAUAAACAAACACCAAAUAACAAUGAUGACAAUAAAUACAAUUAUGUAAAAAUGUAUAUGCAUAUAUAAUUUUAAGCCAUAAAAUAAGAAAUGCAUAUAAAUUAUAGAAUAUGAAAACAUAGAUAAAUAUAUACAUAUAUGUGUAAAAAAUAAUAUUAUAAAAAAAGGGUACGUAUACAUGUAUAAAAAAAAUAAAUGUAUUAACAAUGAAUAUAAUAAGGGUAAGAAAACAAGUAUAUACACAAUAUAUAUGUAACGUGGUACUAAGGACAUAUAUAUAUAUAUACAAUACAGUAUUUAAAAUAAUAUUUACGUAAUACAAAAUAUAAUAUUAAAAGGUAUAUGUACAUACGUAAUAUAUAAAUACAUAUAUAAUAUAAUGUUAAAAUAUUUACAUAAUACUAAAAUAUUUAGGUAAUAUAUGCGUAUAUUGAAAACUAGUAAUAAUAUUACCGAGGUAUAUACAAAUAUAUCAAGUAUAUAUACGUAUUAUAAAUAUAUAAAUAUAUAACAAAGCAUAAACUAAUAAAAAUAAUAAGAAUAAUAAUAAUGAUAACAUUGGAAUAUAAAAGAAACAAACAUAACAUUAAUAAAAUAUUAAAAUAAAGUGAAAUGAAAAAUGUUAAAUACAAAAAUAUAUGUGUAUACAUAUACGUAAUAAAAAUAUACACUAGUACAUAGUUAUAAUAAUAGUAAUACUAAUAAUACUAAUAAUAUCAAAAUAACAAGGAUAUUUGAUAAAGAUACAAAAAUAAACGAAAAAAGGAUUAAAAUCGAAUUAAAAACAAAGUUGUGGGGCCAAUUUGAAAUGAAAACAAAGAAAAGGGACUUAAUUGUACGCGCGUGAAACGUUGGGGGACCGAAACAACAAUUAUUCCUUUCCUUUAAAACGCAGCACAUUGGCGGGGACUAAAUCGAAAAGCGCGAGAAAUUAUAGGGCCAAAUUGAAAACCAUAAAAAACUUAAUUGUGAAGCAUCAGAAAAGCGGAAGGACUGCGCGCAUAAAUAUCCCAUUCAAAUGAAAACACGCGGAUCCUCUAGCGGGUCGGGUCGGAUGGGUCGGGCAUGGCCAAAACGACGUCGUUUUGGGGCUUAAGUGUAGCCCCCAAAACGACGUCGUUUUGGAGGGCUAUAUAAGGCCUAAACUAACCAAAAAAAUCAUUUGGGGAGAGGGAAAGAAAAAAAAAGAGAGAAGGGAGAGAGAAGGGAGGGGAAUCCGGCCAGGGGCCGGUCACCGGACGGCCACCGGAGGCUCGCCGGCGCCGGCGCCGGCCACCGCACGCGGUGGCCGGAAAAGGUAAAAAAAAUAUAUUUUUUUUUAUUUUUUUUGUUAUUUGUUCUUGGUCUUAGAAUAUAUAGAUUUUAGGUUUAUAUUAACUUCAAAAAUGUAUAGAUAUGUAUAUAGAAAUCGAAAAAAAAGUAACCUUUUCCGUUUGCCUUUCCUUUUUUCCGAAUGCUUGCUAUCUCAGAGAUCUAUGUAUUUUUUUUUUAAACUCUAACUUCUGUUUUUUUUGUAUUCAAAUGCCGAAAAAAAACAAACAAAAAAAAGAAGAAGAACCCAAAAAAAACCCCUGUUUCCGUUUUUCAUUUCGGGUUUUAUAACCCAUUUUACAUCCUUUUUCUAUUAUUCUAUCCUGUUUUUUGUCUUGAUCUUGCAGGGUAUGGAGGUGCUGGUAGUGGAGGAGGAGCAGGUGGCCGACAUGGUGGCAUGGAGAGCUGGGCGUGGCAGACGAGGAGGCCACGCGAGGCAUGCGGCGGCCAGCUAGGGUUUGCUGCUGAAUUUUGCUGAAAAAUGUUUUAGAUUUUGGGCCAUUUGGGCUUUAGGAUUUUGAUUUGUUUGGGUUUGAAUUUUGGGUCAGAGUUUGGGUUUGUAAAUGGGCUGUUACUUUUGGGUUUAUUAUUUUUAUUUUGUUUUUGUUUUGCACUGGGCCCGGGCAAAAUGGGCUCAUACAGUGAGUAUGCGAAUGCUCUCAAGACAUAGAGUAAUUGUUAGAUCUAGCACCGCAAAGUGGUAAGUAAGUUCGUGUGACAUUUUAGCGUUCUUCAGAAAAAUGGGCCAGAUGGGCCAAAACUAGGCCCAAUGGGCUUACGGACCAAUAAGGGUAAUAGAUGGGCAAAGUAGCGUGUUUGUUAGAUGGUGGGACCAAUUGCAUAAAACGGCUAAAAAUUACUGAAAUAACUUGUGUAGUUGCGUAAGUACGAAAUUACCCCUAAAAAGCAUAAUUACCGAAAUACCCCUAUGGUUUAAAUUGGCUAAACUGCAUGAUUGAUUAAUACUGUAUUUUACAUGAUAUGCUUUUAUUAAUAUCUGUUGUAUGGGAUUGGGGUAUUGAUGGAGGAAGUAUUGAAAGUGGUUCAUCCACGUACUGGAGGCUUUGCCUCAAGUUGCUGAUAUUUGAGCAGCGUUGCUGCAACUGUGGAGUGUAGGGCUGGGUGGGUUGAGAUAUUCCCCACAUGGAGUGUAGGGCUGGUACGGGGCAGUGUAGCGGUUGGUGGGUUGAGUAGUCUCCCCAGUUGGGCUUGCAUUCAUUACUACUAUGGUUACUUAUGUUACUGAAUUGGGCCUAUGGGCCACACUGUUAUGUUAAAAAGGGCUAAGGCCUUGCUACUGUAUUAUGAAAAGGGCUUCGGUCCACUGUGUACUGUUAUCUGAAUAGGGCUUAGGCCCAAUGGGCUCGAGCUGAUUUGGGCUUUGGAUGGGUUUCUGUAUACACUGAGUUUUCCCAAGCUCACCUCUUCCUCUUCCAUCCUUGCAGGUGAGCCCUAGUUGGUGGACUUGGAGUUGGGCGGGAUUCACAGUGGCCAUGAAGAGUGAUUGCCGAUUUUAAAUAAGUUUAGCAUUUAAUUUGGAUUAUUUUUAUUAUGCUUAAAGUUGUAAUACGGCCGCUCUUUUUAAUUAAUUUUAUUUUGAGGAUUAUUAAACUGGUUAGCACUAGGGUUCGUUUUAUAAAAUCUACUUGUUUUUAAAAGAUCACGAUGACGCGCAAAGUUUCCGCAAAGUAAAUUUUUUUCCAAGAAAAUAAAUAUUUUAAGCAAACGUUUUUCAACCUUAAUCAUUUUCUUAAGAUGGACAUAACCAAACAGUUUUCUCAAAAUUAUACGAGAUGUUAGAGUGUGGCAAUGGUGGUGUGCAUGUCUAGGAUUGGAUCCGAAGGGAGCUUGGUACUUAAGCAGUCCGACGGACUCAGCUCCUCUUCUUCCUGGUUUCCUACCUGGUGCACAGUUUCCGUUCACUUUAACCUACUUUCAAAAGUGUCUUAUACAACACCAACUAAGUUUUCCAAACUAAGUAAUACGAAAUGUUUUGAACGCAUCGAUGUGGCGUAUCAGAUCCGGUCAUAACGUCUAGGCCAGGUUUGGGGUGUUACAUCUUCCCCUAUGGUGACUAGUGUGGAAGUUUAGAUGAUUAAAAGCCGAGAUGUAAAAGUUGCAACAAGUUUUAUUUUGGAGAAUGCCAAAUGAGGAGCAGAGCAUGCUAUAGAUGUGGUUCUCUUGACCACUUCCUUAGAGAUUCCCCGGAGCAAGAUGAUAAAGAGAUUGAAUUAGCUCCAAAGCCGAAUGCCCCUAUUCUCAAGGUAGACCUCCACGCCAUCCUGGAAGUGUAAGUGGCAGUCGAAUUGUGGCCAAGCAUACUACAGUAAAAUCAGAGGCUCAAGCCCCAACGAGAACUUAUGCAAUGCGCGUUAGAGAGGAAGCCUCAACUCCUGAUGUUAUUACGGGCAUAUUUUUUACCUAUGAUACUCAUGUUAUUGCCUUGAUUGACCCAGGAUCGACCCAUUCAUACAUUUGCCCAAAAUUAGUGUCUAGCUUGAACAUGUCUGUGGAACCAAUAGAAUUUCUAAUUAAGGUGUCAAACCCUCUAGGCAAGUUUGUAUUAGUAGAUAAAGUUUGUAAGAAUUGUCCUUUGACGAUUCAAGGUCAUUUUUUUCUGGCUGACCUUAUGCUUUUGCCUUUCAAUGAGUUUGAUGUAAUACUUGGCAUGGAUUGGUUCGCCAUUCACGAUGUGAUAGUAAAUUAUGGUAGCAAGUAUACUGAAUUGAAAUGUUCUGAUGGCAAGAUUCUUCGAGUUGAUUCAAGUGAGUUGAAUACACAAUCGGUUGUGAUUACUUUAAUGAGGUCUCAAAAGUAUAUGAGAAAAAGGUAUGAAGCUUACCUUGCUUUUGUACUGAAUACUAAAGAACCGGAGUUGAAGAUUGAGUCUGUACCGAUAGUGUGUGAAUAUCCGGAUGUGUUUCUGAAAGAGUUGUCUAGUUUAUUUCCUGUUAGAAAAGUAGAGUUCAGUAUUGAGCUAGUGCCAGGAACAACACCUAUUUCUAUUGCCCCGUAUAGGAUGGCACCAACCGAGUUGUAAGAGUUAAAAGCACAGUUGCAAGAACUGACAGAUAAGGGUUUUGCAAGACCAAGUUUUUCACCUUGAGGUGCUCCCGUAAUAUUCAUGAAAAAUAAAGAUGGUUCGAUGAGAUUAUGUAUAGACUACCGACAACUAAACAAGGUAACCAUCAAGAACAAGUAUCCAUUGCCUAGGAUUGAUGACUUGUUUGAUCAAUUGAGGGGAGCCUUUGUGUUUUCUAAGAUAGAUCUGAGAUCCGGUGAUAUGCUCGUCACGAUAAGUUUUAAAAUUUAUAAUUAAUUGUUCUUGAAACUAACUAUUAUCACGAUGAAGGAAAGCGUACCUAUCGAACAGUAGUCUAGCUUUAGCAAGACUAGAUUGUCGAACCCAAAGGAACCAAGAGUACCAGUAAUUACUUUCUUUUUACUAUCUAGCCUAAAAAUUAAGGGAUUUGUUUAUCUAAACUAAUUAACUAAACUAAGGGUACACAGAGAGAAAAUUGGGGAAAAGCUUUUGGGAAAACUCGAUUGAUUAAGACAAUACCCAAAGAAAAAUCCACCUAGACUUCACUUGUUAUUUGACUCUGAAUCAGAUGAUUUAUUCAUUUGACUUGAUCCGUAGAAAUCCCUAAGUUAUAUUAUUAUCUCUCUCAAGACUAAUAACGUCUAACCUUAGGUUGAUUAAUUUAAAUCUCUUCCUAAUUAACACCCUAGUGUUGCAUUAACUUGAUCUGUGGACUCCCUUAUUAGGUUUCACCCUAAUCCAGAAAAAUCUUGUCACCCUAUCUCUAGGCGUGCAAUCAACUCCACUUAAUUAUGACAAAUUUACUCUUAGACAAGGACUUUUGCUCCUCUGAAUAAGUGCAUUAACUUGAAUCAAUAUCCUAGAAUAUUAAAACAAGAAUUAAGAACACAUAAUUAAGAACAAAUCAAAUAUUUAUCAUACAAUUCAGAUAAUAAUAACAAGAUCUGUCUUAGGUUUCAUUCCCCUUAGGUAUUUAGGUGGUUUAGUUCAUAAUUAUGAGAGAAAACAUCUCAAAAGAAUAAAGAUAAUAAAACAUAAAGAAAACCUAAAAUCCCUAAAGGAAAUUGAAGGAGAUUCUCAAUCUUGACGAUGAAUUCAGCUUCUGAGAUGGAUCAAUCGGCUUUCCUUGAGUAAUUCCUUGCCUCCCACUCUGUGUCUCUCUUCUAAGUGCCUCAUCAGGUGUUUAAAUAGGCUUUAGAAUGCCUAAAAGUCCUCAAGAGUGGCCUUUUUCGAAUAGAACUAAACUUGGGCUCGACAGGGACACGCCCGUGUGUGAUUUCUUCAAUCAUGUUCAAGGCUGUUACAUAGGCACGGGCGUGUGGUCUAUCCGUGUGAGGAAGUCCAGGCCGUGUUGAUUUUCCAUGUUGGUCCAUUUUCUCUGUUUUCAGCCUGUUUCUCGCUCUUUUUACUCUCCUAUGCUCACCUAAGUAUAAAACAUUAAAUUAAACGAUUAGGAGCAUCGAAUUCACCAAAUCUAAAGAUAAUUCAUCCAAAAAUGUGCUAAGCAUGGGAUAAAAAUAUGUAUAAAUUAUGGUUUGUGAAAUACCCCUACACUUAAGUGUUUGCUUGUCCUCAAGCAAAAUCCUCAACUCAUAAUCAAAAUUUAUUUUUCUCAACUUAUAAUUCCUAUCAAUAAUAUCUCAAAAUAAACCAUAAGUAAUCAUACAUUGAGAAUUCAACUAGAAGAACAUCAAAGUUUCAAACAUUCCAAGUUGAGCAUUUUAUCGCGAAAACAUAGGUGUCUCCCCUCAUCUAAGUGAUUACCUUUGAUUCAAAAUAUCACAAAAUUUAACAUCCUCACUAAAGAUUCACUCAAAUCACUUGAGGUGUUUAAGAACAAUAAAUGAAGCACUCAUUAGUCAAUAUGAAAAGUUAUUACCAUAGGCUUGCGUGAAGAUCAAAUCUCCACCACUAUAAAUUGAGAUGAUACAUAAAUCAAAAGGUCUUUUAGAAGGUUGUAACUUGGCUUUGGUUAAGGGGUGUGGUCACAAGCUGAAAAAGAAGGUUAGAAUCAAGAUUGAAUUGAAAAAUUACCUAACUAGAAAAAUACUACAACAUGAUAAAUUACUUUUCUAAUUAGAAAAUCCUAGAAUUGAGCUUUUCUUCAUGGGAUAAGGAAUUUAAAUAUUUAAGCUCAAAAACAAAGAAUUACUACUAAUAUGUAUGUAUGUAUGACUAUUUUUUUUAAGAACAAAUCAGAUAACAUAGGCUAGCUAUCAAAAAUAAAACAUAGCUAAGCAAUUUAUUCAAAUCAAAUCUCGACAAAAAUAGGGAUCAAAUUAAUUUAGGGGAUUUCAACAAUAAUGGGUUAUGGGUUAAUAUUGAGGGUAAAUCAAUUAAUGGCUUGUUAGGCUCAAAGGGGUUCAUUAAAGGUUAAUUAUGAGGGUAGGUUGUUAUGGAGUAAGUGGGUUAAACUUAAGUGCCUUUAUCAUCUUGACACAUCAAAUCAAUGGCGUGGUCUUGACAUGCAUAAUCAAGCAAGUUCUAGAAUAAUGAUUCGAUAUUAACGUACUCAAAGCAACAAUAAAAGUGAGCAUGAAAGAAAUAAUAGAUGCCCUAAAGGCUCAAGAUCUCACAAAAAUUAUGGCUUUUUUUUAUGUUUAAACCUGUGAACUUCAGCUAAAGAUAAUACCUAGACUUGGGGAAACAAUCUAAAAAUUUUUAAUUCUCAAAAAUCAACUUAUCUUGCUUGAUUCUCUAAUUCCUUAAAGUUUAAAUAAUCAAUGCAUAAAUGCCUAUGUUUUAAUUUAAGACAUAUUAAUAAAAAAUCAUAAAUUAAUCAAAAUUUAUUCUAAUGAUGAUAUGAGAAAAUUAUUUGAGAACAAGAGAAAAUUUAGGGAUUUUCUGAUAAUGAUAUAAAUUACCCCCCACACUUAAGACGUACAUUGUCCUCAAUGUACAAUGAUAGAUAUACUAAAAAAUAUAGAUAUAUAAUCAUCAGAUAGGGAGAGAAGUGAAACUUCCUGAAUGAUGAAUGGACUCCUUGAAUUGGAGUUAUGGAGAAUAAUCGGCUAAGGCAAUGAUGAGAGUGGAGGAGGAUACUCUGGUGGUGGUAGUGGUUGAUUAGUCCAUAAGUCCUGCACCAAAAGAAUAUUAUAUCUAGUAGUAGCUAUGGUCGUGGUCGAGCAGGACAUGGCAGUCGUGGAGAACCUUUUCCAGUGGAGUGUUAAGUUUCAAAGUGAUGAUGAGCUUUGGAGCUCUUUAUAACUAUGAUAAAGUCAAGAACUCUUUAGGAAAUAUAAGGAAGCAUAAUUACUCGUAAUGAAAUAGCCGAAACUAUAAAUUGUUCAAUAAAAAUGUUAAAACCUAAAAAUGAAAUAGUAUUAAAGGAAAGUAAAAUAAAAAGUAUUUUAAGAAGAUAAAUAAAGAUAAAAGUGAAAAUAAAAAUAAUAAAAUAAAAAGUUUUUAAACAUCGUCAUCACCGGAUGGUUCGCGAGAUGGUGGUGGCGAUAAAAUGUGAAGGUGCUGACAAAUCUGAUAAAGAGUAGCAUCAAUAUGAUCAAAGCGCUGAAAACACUACUACUCAAAUAGAGUAAGACACUCAGAGAUGUCAGAGUAUGAAGCCGCCGCAUGAACUGGACGAUGGAUGGGUGGUGGCUCAGAUGGUGGGUCCUCGUGUCGUGUAGGGACAUCAUCAGGAAUGUCCUCUGGAUUCUCCUGCUCAGCUGACUGGAUGAAGCGGUACUAAGGAGGGUCGCUGCUACGUCGUCGCUCGAUCAUCCUCAUAUGAAACAUGCUCAAGAUUCCCUGUGGGGACAUCUGGCCAACAAGGGUGAUGGAGGAUGAUUGUGCUACCGUGUUGAGGAGCCUGAAGUACCGUGCCAGUCUAGUCACAUAGGGGCCAAUGGAGAUGACUCAUCUCCUAUGCUGCUCCAUCUGAUGGCGGAUGGCGAGGACAAUGAAAUAGGCAAGGUUAAAGACGUGCUUGUUCGCCAUGCUCCACAAGAAAUAGGCGUCGUGAGUGUUGACGACGCUGAUGCUCUCUCACCUUCUUGUCAGAGUGUGGGCCAAGAUGGUGUGUAGGUACCGCAGAGAUGGGGCGAGGGCUGAUGCCUUAGAGCGACUAGGAUCAUAGGUGGCUGAGUCAGGGACUAAAGCACUCCAACAUUUCGAAGGAAAAUAGUAGACAUGACGAUGGAGGGUGUCGAGUUCGUUGUCAUCCAUGAACUCCUCCGUGUACAGUACCAUUGUGAUUCCAAAUUUAGGUACGCUCAACUGGCGAACCAAACCACCGAGGUGAAAUUGGACCGUUCUUGGAUCAUCAAACUCUGUCAUAACAAUUUGGAAGUGAAAGGUCGAACAGAGUUCCAGAGUAAGCUCGAGGUACGUCAGCUCGAUGAUCCCAAAGAAGAGCUCCCAUGGAUAAGUUGACAGAAGGGCUCUGACUCCGUCAGCCAGUUGGACUUGUUCAAGUGCGGCCCAGUCAAUGUAGCGGCCCACACCUAAGGGUCGAGCCAAAAGUAUCUGAAAGAGUUUUUCUUGGGGUCCCAAGAGAAACUAAAUAAAGGGGUGCCUGAUCUCCACGGUAGGACCCGAGGAUGACGCUGCUCCUUUCCUCUUCUUUGAAGCGGGGAUAGUGGUUUCCUUACCAUGAUUUGACAUGAUAUCUGCAAUGGCAAAACGAAAUAAAAAUAAAAUUACUCCCUAACAAUAGCAUGGAAAAAUAUGCAAUGCAUGUUAGAACUAAAUAGAGAUACUUCAUAGGAGUCAUGUAUUAAAGACAAUUAUGCUGAAAGAUAACCCAAUUAGAUAUUUUACGUCAUUACUACGAAUAGGAAUGCGAGAAUAAUGCCUAGUGAGUGGAUGCAUAUGGGAAUGAUAAUAUAGGAAAUAGAUUGAAGUCCAUGGCAACACAAGAAUGAAUGUACCAUAAUCCAUCAACUAGGUUAGCAAGAAACAAAGGGUAUAAGCAUUGCUAUUAUUAGAACUAAGAAGAUUAAGAGUCAAAAUAAAACAAGAAAAAUCAAAUUGGUAAACGAAAUGAAGAGAAAAGAAUGAACAAAUGCAAAAGCCUGGUAGAGGGAGGAGUUUGGGUCGUCGAUGGUAGUGUUGUGGUCGACGCACGGGCGUGGCAGGAAGGGCGUACGAAGGAGUUGCUGUGGCUAGGGUUAGAGAUUUUAGGGAAGGGGAUGAUGAAUAGUGAGGGGUUUAUAUAGAUUUUGGGGCACACGGUAAUGUGUUUCAGGAUUUUUAAAUUUGAGCGCGUCUGGAAUUCGUCCCACGCUCGUGUUCUUUGGGCAUGUUGGUUCACACGGCCGUGUCGCACGGCCGUGUCCUACUUCGUUCACUUCUCUUACACUCGCAUUCAAAUGCGCACGCCUGUGUUGGUUUGACAGUGUCGACCACGGGUGAUAGGCACGGGUAUGUCGCACGUCCGUGUUAAUUUCUCAGUGUCAACCACGGCUUCAAGACAUGGGCGUGUGGCACUCACGUGUUGUUUUGACAGGUUCGCCCACGGCUACAUCCCAUGCCCAUGGCAAUUUAUCGCAUCUCCGUGUUGGGGAAAAACUUUGCCUUGGUUUUACAUGGCCGUAUCGUAUGUCCGUGUCUCCUUCCGGUGUGAGCACGGCCUAAGACACGCCCGUGUACCUGGCGGUGUUGUUUUGUUACUCGGCUUGCCUCCCAAGAAGCACUUAUUCAGAGUCUAAGCUCGACUUGCCUCUCUUUUGCAUGGCCAGGGUGGUGCGAGGAGUUUACUCUCCUCGUUCCUGCUAUCAAUUUCAUCAAAAUAAGGUUUUAGAUAGGUACUAUUUACCUUAAAAGUUCCAAAUUUGGGGUGAAUUACCUCAACUGUACCGUAUGGAAAAAUGCUGAGUACCAUAAGAGGGAUUGCUCCGUUAGGUCCAGGAGUGGCAAUAUAAGGGUCUGCUGCAUCUAGUAGUACUUUGUCUCCAACCUUAAGUUGAUUUGGUGAAAUAUUGAGCUCGUCAUGGCGUGGUUUUGGUUUAUCGUGUGUCCUUAGUUUAUGUGUUCGCCAUUCAUCUAGUUCCUCGAUUUGUAGCCUUCGUUCUUCAUAGAUGGAUUCUUUGUUGUUACUUGAAUAAGGCUCAUGUGUGCUCUUCGAACGUGUUUCCUGUAAAGAAGGUUGCACCACAUGGUUAGUAUUAGUAGGAUUACGAGCUUGAAGAGUAAUUGAGUCAUCACCCACACGAAGUAUGAGUUCACCUGUACCAACAUCAAUAACAGUUCUAGCAGUUGCUAAAAAGGGCCUUCCUAGAAUUAGAGGUGCGUCACUACCCUCUUCUAUGUCUAGAACAACAAAAUCAAUUGGGAAUAUAAAUUCAUCAAUUCUUACAAGUAUCUUCAAUGAUACCUCUAGGAAAUCUGAUAGUUUUAUCAAUUAACUGAAUACUCAUCCUAGUUUGUUUGGGUUUCGCAAGACCUUGUUGUUUAAACGUUUUGUAGGGCAUGACGUUAAUACUAGGCCCUAAAUCAGCCUAAGAAUUUUUAACAUUUAAGCUACCAAUUAAAUAGGGAAUCGUAAAACUCCCUGGAUCUUUCAAUUUGUUGGCCAGCUUGUUCUAUAGAAUGGCUGAGAAAAUUGCAUUUAACUCCACAUGCGAUGCCUCAUCCAACUUCUAUUUAUUUGCUAAAAGCUCCUUUAAGAAUUUGACUGCGUUUUGCAUCUCCGAAAGAGCUUUAAUAAACGGUAAGCUAAUGUGUAAUUUCUUUAAUAGUUUAAGGAAUUUACCAAAUUGUUCAUCUGUGCAGUCUUUCCUUGUCGCAUUAUGUUAUGGCACUCGUGGUUUGUACUCUUUACUUACCGGUUUUUGCUCACUGUGGUCUACCUCGCCUUUACCUUUACUUACCACAAUUUCUUGCCUCGGUUCUGGUUCAGGUUCAACUAACCCUUCCUCGUCUUGGAUGGUAAUUGCAUUAAGUUGUUCCCUUGGGUUAGAUUCAGUGUUACUCGGUAGGCUACCUUGUGGUUGUUCAGAAAUCAAUUUGGUGAGUUGGCCUAUCUGAAUUUCAAGCCCUUGGAUCGAUGCCUGUUGAUUCUUAAGUGUUGUUUCUAUAUUUUGAAAGCGAGUUUCCAACACCGAGAUAAACUUUGUUAGCAUCUCCUCAAGGUUCAUCUUCUUUUCCUGUUGGUAAGGUGGUUGUUGAAAGACUGGAGGUGGUGGUGGUCCCUGAUUCCCUUGGCCUCCCCAUGAGAAAUUUGGGUGGUUCCUCCAUCCUGCAUUGUAAGUGUUACUAUAAGGAUUAUUUUGAGGUCGAGGAUUAUUACCAUAUAAUUUAAUUGCUCAUUUUCCAUGAUGUGGCCAUAAGGUGGGUAUUCUGAAUUGCUCGUCUCUCCUCCACUUGCAUUGCAUUGCAUUAUUGGAUGAACCUAUGAAGAAGCAAGAAAACCGUUAAUUUUUCUAUUCAAAAGUUCUACCUGAUUAGAGAGUAUGGUGACCGAAUCGACGUUAAAAACGUUGGCCGCUAUCAUUGGCUUUGUCUUCAUGACUUGCCACUGAUAAUUAUUCAGUGACAUCUCUUCUAUAAAUUCAUAAGUAUCCUCAGGUGUCUUAUUAUUGAUAGUCCCACCAGCGGCUGCGUCAACCAUCUGUCUAGUUGAAGGAUUCAGGCCAUUGUGAAAAGUUUGAACCUGUAGCCAGAAUGUAGCCCAUGGUGAGGGCACCUUCUCAACAGAUCCUUGUAUCUCUCCCAUGCAUUGUAGAGUCCUUCUAGAUCUAUCUGCACAAAAGAAGACAUGUCAUUCUUCAACUUAACCGUUUGAGCUGGUAAAAAAUAUUUAAGUAAAAACUUUUUGGUCAUUUAUUCCCAAGUAGUGAUUAACCCUCGUGGUAACGGGUUCAACCACUGUUUAGCUUUGUUCCUCAGCGAAAAGCUAAACAACCGAAAGCGUAUGGCUCCGUCAGAAACGCCAUUGAUUUUAAAUGUGUCGCAAAACUCCAGAAAAUUUGCCAAGUGAUUAUUUGGAUCCUCAUCCUGCAAACCAUCAAACUGAACAAAUUACUAUAUCAUUUGAAUCGUGUUAGGUUUCAGUUCAAAAUUAUUUUCAGCAAUAGCAGGCCUAACUAUACAUGACUCAGUUCCUGUUAAAUUCGGUUUAGCAUAAUCAUACAUAGUGCGCAGAGCAGGAUUCUGAUUUACUGGAUCAGCAGCAACCGUAGGAGGUAGCGGAUUUUCUUGAUUUUCAGCCAUCUCCUCAGUUGUGGUUUGAAUAUCAUCCUCUUGCUCUUCCUCUGUGUAUCUUAAGCUUCGCCUUAUUUCUCUUUGGUUUCUACGAGCUGUGCAAUCGAUCUCACUAUCAAAAAGUAAUGUUCCCAACGGGUUUCUUCUAGUAAUACAUUAUAAAAAAACCUGCCAGAAGUGAAUAAAAGAGAAAAUUAGAAAAGAAAAUAAAAAUUUAAAUUGCAAUAAAAAAUAAAAUGGCUAAAGUAAAAAAAAUCGAGUGUUCCUAAUAUCUUAGUUCCCUGGAAACGACGCCAAAAACUUGAUAUGCUUGUCGCGAUAAGUUUUAAAAUUUAUAAUUAAUCGUUCUUGAAACUAACUAUUAUCACGAUGAAGGCAAGUGUACCUAUCGAACAGUAGUAUAGCUUUAGCGAGACAGGAUUGUUGAACCCAAAGGAACCAAGAGUAGUAGUAAUUACUUUCUUUUUAUUAUCUAACCUAAAAGUUAAGGGAUUUGUUUAUCUACACUAAUUACCUAAACUAAGGGUGCAUAGAGAGAAAAUUGGGGAAAAAGUUUUGGGAAAACUCGAUUGAUUAAGACAAUACCCAAGGAAAAAUCCACCUAGACUUCACUUGUUAUUUGACUCUAAAUUAGAAGAUUUAUUCAUUUGACUUGAUCCGUAGAAAUCCCUAAGUUAUAUUAUUGUCUCUCUCGAGACUAAUAACGUCUAACCCUAGGUUGAUUAAUUGAAAUCUCUUUCUAAUUAUCACCCUAGUAUUGCAUUAACUCGAUCUAUGGACUCCCUUAUUAGGUUUCACCCUAAUCCAGCAAAAUCUUGUCACCCUAUCUCUAGGCGUGCAAUCAACUCCGCUUAAUUACGAUAAAUUUACUCUUAGACAGGGACUUUUGCUCCUCUAAAUAAGUGCAUUACCUUGAAUCAAUAUCCUGGAAUAUUAAAACAAGAUUUAAGAACACAUAAUUAAGAACAAAUCAAAUAUUUAUCAUACAAUUCAGAUAAUAAUAACAAGAUCCGUCUUAGGUUUCAUUCCCCUUAGGUAUUUAGGGGGUUUAGUUCAUAAUGAUGAAAUGAAACAUCUCAAAAGAAUAAAGAUAACAAAACAUAAAGAAAACCUAAAACUCCUGAAGGAAAUUGAAGGAGAUCCUCAGUCUUGAUGAUGAAUCCAGCUUCUAAAAAGGAUCAAUCAGCUUUCCUUAAGUAAUUUCUUGCCUCCCACUCUAUGUAUCGCUUCUAAGUGCCUCCUCAGGUGUUUAAAUAGGCUUUAGAAUGCCUAAAAGCCCUCAAGAAUGGCUUUUUUUGAAUAGAACUAAACUUGGGCUCGACAGGGACACGCCCGUGUGCGAUUUCUUCAAUCCGUGUUAAAGGCUGUUACAUAGGCACGGGUGUGUGGUCUACCCGUGUGAGGAAGUCCAGGCCAUGUUGAUUUCCCAUGUUGGUCUAUUUUCUCCAUUUUCAGCCUGUUUCUCGCUCUUUUUACUCUCCUAUGCUCACCUAAGUAUAAAACAUGAAAUUAAAGGAUUUGGAGCAUCGAAUUCAUCAAAUCUAAGGAUAAUUCAUCCAAAAAUGUGCUAAGUAUGGGAUAAAAAUAUGUAUAAAUUACGGUUUAUCAUUCGGCUACUACCAGCUGCGAGUAAAAGAGUCGGAUGUACCUAAGACUGCUUUCAGAACAAGGUAUGGCCAUUAUGAAUUUCUUGUGAUGCCUUUUGGGUUAACAAAUGCACCAAAUAUGUUUAUGGACUUGAUGAAUAGAAUCAUUCGGUCAUACUUAGACAAAUUUAUUGUUGUGUUUAUUGAUGAUAUCCUGAUUUAUACCAAGGAUGAGACCAAACAUGCCGAGCAUUUGAGGACUGGUUUUUAGACUUUGCGAGACAAGCAACUUUAUGCUAAAUUUAGCAAGAGCGAGUUUUGGCUCCGAGAGGUAAGAUUCUUGGGUCACAUUGUUUUGGGUGAAGGCAUCCGAGUUGAUCCAAAUAAGAUAUAUGCUAUUGUCGAGUGGAAGUCACCAAAGAACGUAAUCGAGGUUAGAAGCUUUUUGGGCUUAGUCGGUUACUAUCAACACUUUGUGAAAGGAUUUUCGAUGAUUGCAACUCAUUUGACGAGGUUGCUGUAAAAAGAUGUUAAGUUUGAAUGGUUAGAAAAGUGUCAGCAUUGUUUCGAGAAAUUGAAUACGUUUCUAACUGAAGCUCCAGUUUUAGUGCAACCCGGCCAGGAAAAGAAUUCAUAGUCUGUAGUGAUGCAUCCUUGAACGGAUUAGGUUGCGUGCUUAUGCAAGAGGGAAAAGUAAUAGCCUAUGCUUCGAGGUAACUAAAGCCGUAUGAGAAAAAUUAUCCAACACAUGACUUGGGGUUGGCUGCCAUUGUAUUUACCUUGAAAAUUUGGAGACACCAUUUGUAUGGUGAAACUUGCGGUGUAUUCACCGAUCAUAAGAGUUUGAAGUACUUGAUGACUCAAAAGAAAUUGAAUAUGAGAUAGCGGAGAUGGUUAUAUUAUGAGCUGAUAAUUGAUUAUCACCCGGGAAAGGUGAAUGUGGUCGUCGAUGCUUUGAGUAGGAAGUCCUUGUUUGUGUUGAGGGCUAUGAACACACGAUUGGCGUUGUCCGAUGAUGGUUCAGUUUUGGCAGAGUUAACAGCCAAACUGACAUUCCUAUAAGAAAUUCGCGCAGCUCAGAUCAAUGAUAGUGAUUUACAGGCCAAGAUAGCACAAUGUGAGACAGGUGUUGAGUCAGAUUUUUGGGUUGACUCUAAUGAUUGUUUGAUGUUUCAAGAUAAGGUCUGUGUACCUAAAGAUGAUGAACUUAUUUAAAAAUUUUACAAGAAGCACAUGAUAGUCGUCUGUCUGUUCAUUCGGGAAGCACCAAGAUGUACAAUGAUUUAAGGAAAAUGUACUGGUGGAAUGGCAUGAAAAGAGACAUCUUUGAAAAUGUUUGAUAUGUCAACAGGUCAAGGCUGAAAACGAAGUACCUUCGAGUUUGUUACAACCUGUGAUGGUACUCGAAUAGAAGUGGGACAGGAUUACCAUGGAUUUUGUGGUUGGAUUGCCGGUAACUCUGAAAAAGGAAGAUGUUGUAUAGGUUAUAGUUGACAGACUAACGAAGUUGGCUCACUUCAUUCCAACACAGGCUGAUUACUCUCUUGAUAAACUGGCCGACUUGUACAUUUUCAAAAUUGUGAGAUUACACGGAUACCAUUAUCGAUUAUUUCAGAUAGGUACCCAAGAUUCACUUCGAGAUUUUAGAAGAAGCUACAAGAAGCCUUGGGUACAAAGUUGAGUUUUAGUACGGCAUUCCACCCACAGACUGAUGGUUAGUCUGAGUGAACGAUUCAAACUCUCGAGGACAUGUUACGGUGUUGCAUCCUUGAAUUCCAAGAUAGUUGGGAAAAAUACUUACCUUUGGUGGAAUUUGCCUACAACAACAAUUUUCAGACCAGUUUAAAAAUGGCACCUUAUGAGGCAUUAUUGGCCGGAAGUGCUGAACUCCACUGUAUUGGACAGAGCUCAAGGAAAUUCAGAUUCAUGGAGUUGAUUUAGUCAAGGAAACUAAAGAAAAGAUUAAAGUGAUACGGGACUAUCUGAAAGCGACAUCGGAUAGGUAAAAGUCAUAUGUUGAUUUGAAGAGAAAAGAGAUUGAGUUUCAAGUUAGAUAUAAAGUAUUCUUGAAAGUGUAUCCAUGGAAAAAUGUCUUAAGAUUUGGUUUAAAGGGAAAACCGAGUCCAAGGUUUAUCGGACCAUAUGAGAUUAUUGAGAAAGUUGGACCGUUAGCCUAUUGAUUAGCAUUGCCUUCCAAAUUGGAAAAUAUUCAUGAUGUAUUCCAUGUGUCCAUGUUGCGUAGAUAUAGAUCAGACCCCUCACAUGCGAUUUCACCAACGGAAGUUGAGAUUAGACUGGACAUGACUUAUGGUGAAGCACCGGACAAGAUUUUAGCUCGAGAAGUCAAACAGUUAAGGAAUAAAAAUAUAGCCUUAGUGAAAGUCUUAUGGCAUAGAAAUGGGGUGGAAGAAACCACAUGGGAACCUGAAGAAGUCAUGAGAAUUCUAGAUCCGAACCUGUUUACUAGUAAGACUUUCGAGGACGAAAGUCCUUUAGGGGGGAGAAAUAUAACGUCCCAAAAUUGGGCCUAGUCAGAAUAGUAGUUUUAGGACCAUAAAUCAGACAAUUAAAUAUUUGUUUUAUGAUUAUUAUGAGGUCUAGGAUAUGAAAAUAAGUAUGUCUUAAAGUUUCAUGAAGAAGUUCUAAGUAUAAGGUGUCCAAUUGGUAAUUAGGGACCAAAUUGAAUAAGUUCUUAAAUUUUGGUUCUAGAAGAAAUUUUUAUGAAAUUGCUCUGAAUUAUUAAUUAGAAGGUCUUAAAGAGUAAUUUUCUCAAUUUCUAAGCUUUUGGACAAAAAUGGGCAUGCAUGGAAAAUUUUGAAAGGUUAUUAAGGUAGGGCAUUAUGGUCAUUUGGUAAUAAACUAAAUAAAAAGGGGAAAUGAAAGCAAAAAUCAGCCAUUUUUCUUCUCCAUGCUGCCGAAAAUUGAAGGGUCUCCAUAGCUAGGGUUUUCAACAUUUUCAAGCUCAAUAGUAAGUACUCCCUAGCCCCGUUUUUAACAUUCUUCGAAUUUUUGAGAUCUUCGUAACAAGCUUUCUCUAUUUUUACCCAUUUUUCAAGCUAGGGUUCAUGUUUAGAAAUUUACCCAUGCAUAAGAUGCUUGUGUUUUGAUGAUUUGUGGAGGAAUAUGAGAUUUUAGAGGACGGUAAACAACUUUUACUAAAUAGUUUUUCAUAGAAAUAGCUUGAGGGACCAUUUUGUAAAAGUUGUGAAAAUGGGUAGAAAAAUUUGAAAUGAAAGAAAAUGUAGGCUGCUAUAGCAAGAAAAAUAUUCGGCUAGGCUUGGAUAACCUGGAAAUUUCAUGCAUUUCAUUAUACGAGCCUAGGGACUAAUUUGUAAAAGUGUGAAAGGUUAGGGGCAAAAUGGUCAAUUUCCCCUAGUAUGAGUUUUAGGACGAAAAUGAACAUUGUAAGUAUUAAUAAUUUAUUUUUACUGAUAUAGACCCCGAGGAACCAAUUCCGGAGGUCGACCGUGGAAAACGAAAGGUUUCGGAAUAACUGAAAUAAUAACCUGAAGCAAUUACCAGGUAAGUUCGGGUAACUCGAAGUAAACUCUUAAUAUACACAAAAUGUAUAAAUAUAUAUAUGAAUGUAUGACAAUUUAAACAUUCGUUACAUGAUAAUCCAUGAAAUAUGGUAGUAUAGUUUAAAAGGGAAUUGAAGUUCCCAAUUGAAAUAAAAGGAUAUCUGAUGGGUUUCUCGAAAUGAAUUGAUGGUAAAAAGGAUCUAGCCCAGAUGGGUGUUCCUUUUAUGAUCGAGCCUCCCGAAGAAGAAGUUUGUUGAAAUGGAUUUAGCCCGGACGGGUAAUCUGAUUAGGGUCUGAAUUUAGCAUGGAUUGGUAGUUCAGACUUGAGCACAUUAGAGUACAUGUCAUAGUAAAGGAUUUAGCCUAGACCGGUAAUCUUGACAUUACUCUAUGAGUUUACAUUAUGGGGGAUUUAACCUGAACUGGUAAUCCCACCGCAAGAGUGAGGUUCACGGGAGUGCGUAUUUUAAAUGAUCACUUACACGAUUUGACAGUAAAUGAGAUAUCCAUUGAGAUUCUGAGAGGUUCAAUGGGAUUAAAAUGAGGAACGAAAAUAGAAAUGCUUGAAUUGAUGAGCUCAUCUAAGACUAAUGCUUUAAUGUUCUUGCACGAGACUAACUUGAUGGUUGAGUGUAUGUGAUACGAAAAUCAUACUAUGCAUGUCUGAUAUGAAUAACCAUUACGGACGUAUGCUAAAUAAUCGAUAAGUUUACCUUCCUGUUAUUCGAACUUACUAAGCAUAUGAAUGCUUACCCACUUUCAUUUCCCUUGUCUUACAAAGCUGAAGGACUCAUGAAGAUUGGAAGAUAAUUAGAGCAUUGUCAAUACUAUCAACAUGUCUUACUUUGGUAUAUAGAAACUUUUAUUUUGUUAUAAUGGCAUGUAUAGGAUUUUUGGUCAUUUUGUUUUAUGUGUCAUUUGGCUAGCCAAUGUUAGGGCUUAAAUGAUAUGCUUAUUCAUUUUGUAUAUGGCCAUGAGAUAUGGUCCAUAUUGAUGUAGGUUGUAAAUUUACUAAUUGUACAUGUAUAUGCUUGAAUGUUUCAUGAGAUGGUUAAUGUAGUAUACCAUGAAUGGAUAUGUGUAAUGUGGCCAAAUCACUCGAAGAUGGUUUAGGUCAUAAUUGGCAUGAUUCAUGAAAUGAACUAAGUAUAUAAUAUGAUUUGUAAAAUGGUAACCCUAAAAUGAAAAGGGUACUAUCAAUAUAGGCUAAGAAGAGACUUGAAGCAACAUGCAUGACCUUGGUUAAGAAGGUUUUAAAGGUACAUUUGUACCAUAAUAGAUGUCCAGAUGGGUAGACACACGGGCAUGUGUCUAGGCCGUGUGUGACACACGGUCAGUUCCCAUGGGCAUUUUGUAUAGCCGUGUGUCCCCUGCACCUAGUAUUUUAGGUCAAUAUGCAUGAUAGUAAACACACAGGUAGAGACAUGGCCAUGUGUCUCAACCAUGUUGAGGACACGGCCUAGCACACGGGCGUGUGCCUUGGCCAUGUGCCCUUAGACGGAUGACGAUGUCAUAAACAAAAUGUCCAUGUUUUUGGACAUAGGCGAUCACACGGUUGUGUCUAGGCCGUGUGAGGGACACGGGCGUGUGCUUGGCCAUGUAAAAACCCCUGUAGGUUUGAAAUGGAAAAUAAAUUUCAAUAAGUCGACACGGGUAAGGGACACGGGCAUGUCCCAAUGCACACGAGCUGUGCAUUGCCUCCGCACGGGUGUGUGAGGUUUAAACCUAGAAAUUUUUCUAAAAUUUUCUUGAUUUCUCAGUUUAUUCCCAGGUCACUUUAAUGUAUGUUUUUGACCUCGUAGGUCCAUAAUAGAGACAAUAUGAUUUUGUUUGAUUGGUUUUAAAUUGGAAUGAAAUUUGAUAUCUCGUAUUUUUUGGAAAUGCCCUGUUUUUGUACGGUAAUACCUCAUACCUAGUCCCGGUCUUGGGUAGGGUAAGGGGUGUUACACCUUCUGCAAUUGAACAAACUCAGAAAUGUACAAUUUAGCUAGUCUAUCAAGUGAGUAAUAUGUAUGUAUCGGUAUGAAAUGAGCAGAUUUCAUUUGUCGAUCAAUGACAACCCAGAUAGCAUCUUUUUUUUUGGGAGUUAGGGGCAAUCCCGACACAAAAUCCAUUGUAACACUACCCCAUUUCCACUCAAGGAUCAUCAUAGGCUGCCGUAAACCUGAAGGUACUUAAUAUUCAGCUUUGACUUGCUUACAAAUCAAACAUUUAGAAACAAACUCUGAGAUAUCUUGUUUCAUGGCUUGCCACCAAUAAAACUAUUUCAAAUUGUUGUUCAUUUUGGUACUCGUCAGAUGAACCGAUAAGCAGCUAUUGUGCACUUUGUGCAAAUUCUAUUCCGGAACCUUAAACAAUCAUCGGUUCCAAUCUGAAACUCUGAAUUAGGGAUAGUCUCACAUUGAAUUCAUUGAACUUACAAUUCACGGACUUCUUUUUGAACUUCACAGAUUUAUUGAAGAAAUACCGAUUUAGCUUUUAAUUCAGCUAAAAUAGACCCAUCAUCACAAAUCAUCAAUUGGGUAUUCAUUUCUCGUAAUGCAACCAAAGAUUUUUGGCUCAGGGCAUUAGCAACAACGUUAGCUUUUCCCGAGUGAUAAUCAAUCACAAAUUAAUAGCCUCUCACUAACUUGAGUCAUCUUCGUUGUCGUAGAUUCAAAUCUUUCUAUGAGAUUAGAUAUUUUAAGCUUUUGUGAUCCGUAUAAAUGUGCCAUUUUUCACCGAAUAAGUAGUGUCACCAAAUUUUCAAUGCAAAAAAAUUGCAGCCAACUUUAAGUUGUGCGUCUGAUAGUUCUUUUGAUGCGGUUUCAAUUUUUAGGAAGCAUAAGCUAUAACUUUUCCUUCUUGCAUCAAAGCACAUCCCAAACCAUUUAAUGACACGUCACUAUAAAUCAAAAAUUCUUUCCCCAAUUCAGGUUAAACCAGAACUGGUGCUUCAGUUAACAAUAAUUUCAACUAUUCGAAACUCUGCUGACAUUUUCCUAACCAUUCGAAUUUCACUUCUUUUUGAAGCAGUCAUUUCAUCGGUGUCGCAAUCAUCAAAAAUCCUUUCACGAAUCUUCGGUAAUAGCCCGCUAAGCCCAAAAAACUCUGGACUUCAGACACUUUUCUCAGAUGUUUCCAGUCAACAAUAGCAGAAAUCUUACUCGAGUCAAAUCUAAUACCUUCAACUGAAACAAUAUGCCCCAAAAAUCCAACCUCUCGGAGCCAAAAGUCACAUUUGCCGAACUUUGCAAAUAAUUGAUUUUCACAUAGAGUUUGUAAUACAAUUCUCAAGUGCUCGGUAUUUUUAGAUUCAUCUCGCGAAGAGAUCAGAAUGUCAUCAAUGAAUACAACAAUGAAUCUGUCUAAAUACGGUCUGAAUAUCUGAUUCAUCAAGUCCAUAAAAACUGCAAGAGCAUUAGUUAAUCUGAAAGGCAUAACAAGGAAUUCAUAAUGUCCGUAUCUCAUUCUAAAUGCAGUUUUCGGUACAUCCGACUCAUUAGCUCGUAACUAAUAAUAACCCGAUCUCAAAUCAAUCUUUGAAAAUACUGUAGCUCCUUUCAAUUGAUCAAAUAAAUCAUCAAUCCACGGUAGAGGAUAUUUGUUCUUUAUAGUCACUUUAUUCAGCUGUCUAUAAUCGAUACACAUUCUCAUCAUGCCAUCUUUCUUCUUUACGAACAACACCGGUGCACCCUAGGGCGAAUAACUCGGUCACAAAAAACCUCAGUCUAUCAUUCUUGCAACUAUGCUUUCAACUUUUUUAUUUCUGUUAGAGCCAUUUUGUACGGAGCUAUUGAUAUCAAUGUUGUUCAGAAAUACUAAUUCAAUACCAAAUUCAACUUCUUUGAUCGGUGGCAAACCCGAUAAUUCUUUUGGAAAUACAACCAAAAACUCACAAAUAACAGGUACAGCUUCAAUCUUUGAUUCAGACACCGUUGUAUCCAGUACAUAUGCAAGAUAUGCAUCAUAGCCCUUUUUCAUAUAUUUCUGAGCUAACAUAGAUGAUGUCACAGUAGGUAAUUACUUGACUCAUCAGACUCAAUCCGAAGAAUUUCACCGUUCUGACAUUUCAAUUCGAUAAUCUUUCGUCUACAAUUCACAACUGCAUCAUGCAUAGUCAGCCAGUCCAUACCCAGAAUCACAUCAAACUUAUCGAGCGGUAGAAACAUCAACUCAACUGGAAAACGGUAACCCCAAGUCAUCAAGGGACAAUUCUUACAAAUUUUAUCAACUAAAAUAGACUUGCCUAAGGGGUUAGAUACUCUAAUUACAAACUCUGUAGACUCGACAGGUAAACUCUUUUUAAAUACUAAAUUCAUACAGAUAUAUGAAUGGGUUGAUCCAAGAUCUAUCAAUGCAACUAUAUUAGUAGCUGUAAUAACGUCCGGCGAUGAUGCCUCCUCCCGUGCAUGGAUAACAUAAGCUCGGGCAGGUGCUCAUGCCUCAGAUCUUACAAAAGAAUCUCUUGUAGCACCUCGAUUACCACUCGUAUUUCCAGUGUUUCAAGGUGGUCUCCCUCUAGUAGUCGUAUUACUUGGUUUCACCAGUUGAUCUCUUUCAGCCAUAGACUUUUCUAGACAAUCCCGGAGAUAAUGAUCAAGAGAUCCACAUCUAAAACAAGCUCUACUCAUUAUUCUACCUUCAUUGUAAUGUAUCUUAUUGCAGUGCUUACAUUCAGGUCCAACAUUUCUAAUACAACCCACACUAGCAACAGAUGUCGUCUAUGGUUUAGAGCUGAACUGUCUCGCAUCUCUAUCUUUGAUCGAAAUCUGCGCAAAAGCAAUAGAACGAGGAUGAUAUUUUCUAGAUUUCUUUGAUGCUGAUUGAUGUGAUUUUCCCACAAAUCUCUUUCUAAAGUCUCUAGCCUCAGAAUCGGCUUUUCUUUCCUCUUUGCUAAGCUCUUUGGCUUUGCAAGCUCUGCCAACUAAGACGACAAACUCUUUCAGCUCAAAAAUCCCAACUAACAGUUUGAUUUCUUUGUUUGAUCCAUCUUCGAACCUUUUACACAUUAUAGCCUUGGAAGAAACACAUUCACGAGCAUAUUUUCUGAGUCGUACCAACUCUUUUUCGUAUUCUGUUACCAACAUACGACCUUGUUUCAAUUCAAGAAAUUCCUUUCAUUUCUGAUCAAUGAACCAUUGGCUGAUGUAUUUCUUUUUGAAUUCAACUUGAAAGAAUUCUGAAGUAACUCUUUCUCGCGGAACUACGGAUACCAAGGUAUUCCACCACUGAUACACAAUGUCUCUCAAUAGUGAUACAACAUAUUUUAAACAUUCUUCAGCCAAAACUCAAGCCAAAACUCAGCUCUCUCAGGGUCAUCGUUAACAGUGGCUCUAAAUUCCUCAGCCUCGUGUUUUCGUAUCAAAUAAAUAGGUGGUUUAUUCAAUCGCAAAGGAUCCAUACCUUGAGGAACUACAGGGAUCAGUUGGGGAAUAGGUGGGGGUGGAGGUUGUUGAGCAACCGGGUUCACACGAAUGUAUUGAGUGAACCACUCGUUCAUCAUUUGAAAGAAUGCUUCUUUAGCCUCACCACUGUGACUACCCGACACGGGUCUACAUUUUCUCAAUUCAAGCAUUCAUCAUUCAAUCUCAAUUCAAGCAUUAAGCAUUCAAUGUCAAUCAAUUUGUCCCUUAUACGAACCUACGAGGCCCUAAACAUGCUCUGGGAGUGAUUCAGGACUAAAUCGAUAACUAAAAAAUCUUUUACAAAACUAAGAAAAUUUUUUUUCAAAACAAGGGACACACAUUCGUGUGGCUAGGCCGUGUGUCUCACACGGCCACCAGACACGCCUGUGUCACAAGUCGUGUGGACAUUCAAAAUGAGAGUGCAUGGCCAUAACCCAGCCCGCGUCUGACCCCGUGUAACUCUCUGACUUGAGUCAUACAGCCAACACACACGCCCGUGUGCCCUAAAAAUGGCCAUACAUGCCUGUUUGCCAGGUCGUGUACUAGGCCGUGCCAAACCUGUAGGGUAUACUAACUUAUACCACAAAGCCAAGUCACAAGCCCGUGUGUGAGACCGUGUGGAGCAUACUGACUUGAUUUUAAUUUCAACACCAGGGGACACACGACCGUGUAACAUAACCGUGUGUCAUAGACGACUGAGACACACGCCGUGUCUCUGCCCGUGAGGACAAAAAUAGGCUAUUUAGUAAGCCAAUUUGCCACCCUAUUUUUAAAUACCUACACAAGCAUAAAUUACAACAUUUUAUAACUCAAUAGGCAGCUAAUCCAUAACAUUUCAUACACAUAUUAUAUCGAUUCAACUACAAUCAUUUCUAAAUUCACUAUUCAAACACUAUAACCAACUGAACAUGGUAUUCAAACACCUAAAUUAUAACCAAGCAUUUUCCAUUUAUGCCUAUGAAGUAUUAAGAAAACAUUUUCAUAUUUCCACCAUUUACUACUUGCCAAACAUACCAUAUUGAAUAGUUAUACACAACCAAAGUAUUACACCAAGUUAAGCCAAAUCACAUGGCUUUAUCUUAUAUCACAACAUGUACCAAAAUCACUAGCUCAAGUAACCAUAACUAUCAUCUUUAUAACUAGCCUAUACAUGUCAUAUUGACAUAUAUCCAUGAGUUCAAAGGUACCAAUCAGCAACUGGAUAGUGUGAUGCAUAUUUUUGACUUUAUCCGAAUAGAGCGAGCUAUCGAACCUCUAUAAAACACGAAAUAGAAAUAGAGUAAGCUUUAUAGCUUGUAAGCUCGUAUAAUUCAGAAUUAAACUUACCAUUUAUACAUAAUCAAGACCAUAAAUAAGGUAUACUGAAUUCAAUUACCAAAUGCCUAAACACAAGCAUCCAUCAACGAGUUAGUCACAUAAGUGCAUGUAAUCAUCCAUUAUCUCAAUUUAAUACUCAAUACAUUGUAUCAUAUCAAAUUUAUAUAUCACAUACAUCAUUUAUAACAUUUCACUCUCAAUUAUAUAAACAAUAAUUCAUUUGAUAACAGUAACUCAUCCGUAUAAACACAUAGCUUUUUCACAUAACCAAUAACAAAAUUUAUUCUCGUUGAACCUAUUAGAAUAUUGAGGUAUACUAGGAUGAUAUACAUUACGUAUAUAAAUCAAUAAUCUAUUAAUUCAUUAUCAUUUCUGCUCUUUCGAGCUAUGAUCAGUAAGCUCCUAUAGAGUUGAUGGGCAGUAAGCUCUAAUGAGCUGAAAACAGUAAGCUCUAUUAGGAGCUGAUAUAUUGGUAAGCUCAAAUGAGCUGUGGUGAGUCCACAACACAUACAGGAUCUUGAUUAAGAUGGUAACCCUAAUGACAUAUUAUUCGUAUCCUACAACUUUCUACGAUUCAAACGAAACUCGGUAUUCAAGAAUUCUCAUCAAUUAGGCAUUCGAACUUAGUAAUACCAUUUACUCAAUUAUACUUUUAUUUAAAAUAAUUUACAAUUAUUUAAAAAUUUGAUUCUAAUUAUACAAACUUACCUCGAGUUGCUCGGAUGGAAAUGAUUGACUAUUCGUCCUCUUUUCCUUUUCCCCGAUCUAAUCCUGAUCUCAGCUUAUCUUGAACUAUAUAUAAUUAGAUUUAGCACAUUCAACAUUCGGUCUAUUCAAUUUACCCUAUAUUUUACAAUUUAACUAUUUACACAUUUGCCUCUAAUGUUUCACAUUUUUACAAUUUAGUCCGUAUCACAUAAAAUUGCAAAUUCAUGCAAUUUAGUACAAACCCAUGCUUAGCUGAAUUAAAUACAUGUUACUAGAUGCCCAUAUUUUUUAUUUAUUCACACUUUUAACCACCACAUUUCACAUUUUUUCAAUUUAAUCCCUUUUUUAACAUUUUUGUCAAAAAUCACUUUACAAAAGCUAUUAAUCUAACAUUAAACCUUCCAAAUCUAUCAUAAACCAUCAUAUUACUCAAGUAUUCAACAAUGGAAACAUGAUAAAUCUUUAACAAUUUCAAAAUUUAGGGCACGGGCUUGCUAUAAUACAAAGCAACGAUCUUAAAAACAUAAAAAUCAUUAAAAACCGAGCAAAAAACGGACUUACAAUUAAGCUAGGAGUUGGCUGAAUGCUUCAAGCCCUAAAUGGCUUUUUCCUUUGUUAAAUUCCGCUAUUAGCAUGAAGAUGGAAAAAAAUUAUGAAUUUUUUUUUGUUUUAAUUCACCUUUAUUAACUAAUUUACUUAUUUGACCUUUAAAACAUUUAAUAAUUACACCAAUUGCCUUGCCACUAUCAUCCACUAACUCUCAAAUGGGUUAAUUACCACUUAAGGACCAUUAUUUUAAGGUUUUAUAGCUAUUAGACACCUUUAGCUAAUAGAACAUCAUUUUUG
RNAcentral lists this long non-coding RNA (39079 nucleotides) under Gossypium barbadense (sea-island cotton). RNAcentral's name for it is "long non-coding RNA (GBAR_LNC002054)". The stretch from base 25179 to 25285 matches the Rfam family "Plant small nucleolar RNA R71". Lineage: Eukaryota; Viridiplantae; Streptophyta; Magnoliopsida; Malvales; Malvaceae. The record is from RNAcentral.